RNAcentral lists this ribosomal RNA (444 nucleotides) under Oedemopsis scabricula. RNAcentral describes it as "eukaryotic LSU rRNA". Lineage: Eukaryota; Metazoa; Arthropoda; Insecta; Hymenoptera; Ichneumonidae. The record is from RNAcentral.
CCUGAGAAACCCAAAAGAUCGAAUGGGGAGAUUCAUCGUCAGCGAUCCUGGUACUUGUACGGUUCGUGAUGCUACGAAGACUUCGGUCUCGCAGCACGCGUCUGUAUGGUUUAUUUGCCAGGCGUCGUCGGCGUGCACUUCUUCCCUAGUAGGACGUCGCGACCCGUUGGGUGUCGGUCUACGGCUCGGGUGGGCGCCUGCCAUGUGUCACGCUUCACGGCGUCAUGUGGCAGACCCCCGGUUGUCUGACCGGCUGCCCGGCGGUACUCGCACGGUAUCGGGCCGCAAAUAUUCGAACUGCGUCUGGCCCGCCGCAAGCGAGGUCAGUGUUUCCCGGAUGUACGGACCUAGUGCCGUCACCGGGCCUGGCCAGCUGUUGGUCGGCGGUGUCCUGGGACUGGCUCUUUUGAAUUAUGAUACCGGUCGGCGACGCUACUGCUUUGG